Molecule: ribosomal RNA, 373 nt
Filed under: uncultured Pseudomonas sp.
Lineage: Bacteria; Pseudomonadati; Pseudomonadota; Gammaproteobacteria; Pseudomonadales; Pseudomonadaceae
Description: bacterial SSU rRNA
Rfam family: Bacterial small subunit ribosomal RNA
Source: RNAcentral
GGUGCCUUCGGGAACUCUGACACAGGUGCUGCAUGGCUGUCGUCAGCUCGUGUCGUGAGACUGUUAGGGUUAAGUCCCGUAACGACGCGCAACCCUUGUCCUUAGUUACCAGCACGUUAUGGUGGGCACUCUAAGGAGACUGCCGGUGACAAACCGGAGGAAGGUGGGGAUGACGUCAAGUCAUCAUGGCCCUUACGGCCUGGGCUACACACGUGCUACAAUGGUCGGUACAAAGGGUUGCCAAGCCGCGAGGUGGAGCUAAUCCCAUAAAACCGAUCGUAGUCCGGAUCGCAGUCUGCAACUCGACUGCGUGAAGUCGGAAUCGCUAGUAAUCGUGAAUCAGAAUGUCACGGUGAAUACGUUCCCGGGCCUU